ACAACCCUAGCAUUAAAGGCUAUGGUCUUGGUGUAAAUACAGCCAAAUGAACAGAUGAGAACAGCAAUUCGGAAAUCAUUAUCAGUUGAGGAGCAUAAGGAAUCAGAGAAACUUAGAGCUGAAAGCAAAGUAAAAAUGAUCUUGCCUAUUCUGAAAGCUCACCUAGAAAGAGAGAGACAUGGUGCAAACUGUACCAACAAGAUAAAUUAGAAGGAGAGACAUCAUGCAAUCAACUGUACCAACAAGAUAAAUUAGAGAUAAUUAACAAAGUGCUCAAUCAAGAGGAAUUGAUGUGAGAGAGUUCUACGUAACUGAAGUGCCCAUGGUGGGUGCUUAGUCGAAGAGCCUUGGAUUUGGACUCAGAAGAAUUCGAUCUCAAAAUUCUCAUCCACCCACGUUGGACAAUCUCUCCCCUCCAUUGGGGCUCGGUUUCCUCCUCAACAAAAUAAAAGAGAUGGACUAGA
Monodelphis domestica (gray short-tailed opossum) is the source of this 464-nucleotide long non-coding RNA. RefSeq lists it as uncharacterized. Lineage: Eukaryota; Metazoa; Chordata; Mammalia; Didelphimorphia; Didelphidae. The record is from RefSeq and is a predicted model, not a curated record.